This 449-nucleotide long non-coding RNA is filed under the name Fukomys damarensis (Damara mole-rat). RNAcentral's name for it is "lncRNA (ENSFDAG00000029939.1)". The record is from RNAcentral. Lineage: Eukaryota; Metazoa; Chordata; Mammalia; Rodentia; Bathyergidae.
ACACCUGGCACGUACAGGAGGAGAGCUUUAUUCUGCUCCUGCUUCCGCCCGUAGUGAGCUGGCUCCAAGGCGGGACAGCCUGGCAGAGACUCGGGGCAGAGCAGAGCGGCUCCCAGCAUGGGAGACAGGAAGCCGAGAGAAGGGAGGAGCCAGGGCGGGACACGGGACCCGCCCUUCCAGGCCCUGCCCUAGUGAGCCGCCUCCUAAUGGCUCAAUUUGCUAUGAACUCAUCAGGAAGACCUGCGCCGGAAGAGGAGAGCCGGCCCCGGGUCAGCCUGGUGCGCGGCUGCCCAGGAGGGGUGGCAAAGGUACACCUCAAGUCAGGAGGCCUCAGGAAGGCCAUUGAGGAAAGUCAUAACCACAAAGAACACUGAGCUCAUAACCAAAACUUCGGCCUAAACCAGCUUCCACCCUCAGAACAUGGCUGGGGUAAGCUCUCCUGUCUAGAA